UGAGGAAUAUUGGUCAAUGGGCGUAAGCCUGAACCAGCCAAGCCGCGUGAGGGAAGAAGGUACAGCGUAUCGUAAACCUCUUUUGCCGGGGAACAAGAGCUUCCACGAGUGGGAGUGUGAGCGUACCCGGAGAAAAAGCAUCGGCUAACUCCGUGCCAGCAGCCGCGGUAAUACGGAGGAUACGAGCGUUAUCCGGAUUUAUUGGGUUUAAAGGGAGCGUAGAUGGAUGUUUAAGUCAGUUGUGAAAGUUUGCGGCUCAACCGUAAAAUUGCAGUUGAUACUGGAUAUCUUGAGUGCAGUUGAGGCAGGCGGAAUUCGUGGUGUAGCGGUGAAAUGCUUAGAUAUCGCGCAGAACCCCGAUUGCGAAGGCAGCCUGCCGGCUCCACACUGACGCUGAGGCNCGAAAGCGUGGGUAUCGAA
This 420-nucleotide ribosomal RNA is filed under the name uncultured Bacteroidales bacterium. Its description in RNAcentral is "bacterial SSU rRNA". It matches the Rfam family "Bacterial small subunit ribosomal RNA", at positions 355 to 772 of the family's 1533-position model. The record is from RNAcentral. Lineage: Bacteria; Pseudomonadati; Bacteroidota; Bacteroidia; Bacteroidales.